CCUACGGGUGACAGCAGUGAGGAAUAUUGGUCAAUGGACGGAAGUCUGAACCAGCCAUGCCGCGUGCAGGAAGACGGCUCUAUGAGUUGUAAACUGCUUUUGUACAAGGGUAAACCUGAAUACGUGUAUUCAGCUGAAAGUACUGUACGAAUAAGGAUCGGCUAACUCCGUGCCAGCAGCCGCGGUAAUACGGAGGAUCCAAGCGUUAUCCGGAUUUAUUGGGUUUAAAGGGUGCGUAGGCGGAUUGAUAAGUUAGAUGUGAAAUGUCCGAGCUUAACUCGGGAACUGCCUCUAAUACUGUUGAUCUAGAGAGUAGAUGCGGUAGGCGGAAUGUAUGGUGUAGCGGUGAAAUGCUUAGAGAUCAUACAGAACACCGAUUGCGAAGGCAGCUCACUAAUCUAUAUCUGACGUUGAGGCACGAAAGCGUGGGUAGCAAACAGGAUUAGAUACCCCUGUAGUC
Molecule: ribosomal RNA, 460 nt
Filed under: uncultured bacterium
Lineage: Bacteria
Description: partial 16S ribosomal RNA
Rfam family: Bacterial small subunit ribosomal RNA
Source: RNAcentral